GUCAACAGAAAGUGUUGAAAUGUUUUGUGUAUCAGUUUGGCAUUUUAUAGUAAAGGGAUUUCAGUUUAAAAGUGAAUAUGAUCGAGGAAAUAAUAAAAUUAGUUUUCCAUUUAUACAAUAUAUUAUAUGAUUAUAACGGAGGAAUGAUAGUUGGAUUUAAAACAAAAGACGUAUUUAUAUAACAGUUUGUAUCGCCGAACAUAAUUAAAUGAACUACUGGAUAAAUGUCAUCUUUGUAAGAAUAAUACUAUUCAAUUCAAUUAAUAUUAUGAUUUACUUAUUUCAAAAGACUGCAUAUAACGCGACAAUGUUUAUAAUAUUUUCAGCAUGGCGACUAUAAAUUUAAAUCCGAUUAUUGACAAGUCUAAACUUGAUAAUGACACAGACAAGUUAACGCACGC
RNAcentral lists this long non-coding RNA (401 nucleotides) under Mytilus galloprovincialis (Mediterranean mussel). Lineage: Eukaryota; Metazoa; Mollusca; Bivalvia; Mytilida; Mytilidae. The record is from RNAcentral.